UUUAUAUGAGAGUUUGAUCCUGGCUCAGGAUGAACGCCGGCGGUGUGCCUAAUACAUGCAAGUCGUACGCACUGGCCCAACUGAUUGAUGGUGCUUGCACCUGAUUGACGAUGGAUCACCAGUGAGUGGCGGACGGGUGAGUAACACGUAGGUAACCUGCCCCGGAGCGGGGGAUAACAUUUGGAAACAGAUGCUAAUACCGCAUAACAACAAAAAACACAUGGCUUUUGUUUGAAAGAUGG
This 242-nucleotide ribosomal RNA is filed under the name Limosilactobacillus reuteri. RNAcentral's name for it is "Lactobacillus reuteri partial 16S ribosomal RNA". It matches the Rfam family "Bacterial small subunit ribosomal RNA", at positions 1 to 211 of the family's 1533-position model. The record is from RNAcentral. Lineage: Bacteria; Bacillati; Bacillota; Bacilli; Lactobacillales; Lactobacillaceae.